This 309-nucleotide unclassified non-coding RNA is filed under the name plant metagenome. Its description in RNAcentral is "partial contains 5.8S ribosomal RNA, internal transcribed spacer 2, and large subunit ribosomal RNA". The stretch from base 1 to 105 matches the Rfam family "5.8S ribosomal RNA", at positions 50 to 154 of the family's 154-position model. The record is from RNAcentral.
GAAAUGCGAUAAGUAAUGUGAAUUGCAGAAUUCAGUGAAUCAUCGAAUCUUUGAACGCACAUUGCGCCCGCCAGUAUUCUGGCGGGCAUGCCUGUUCGAGCGUCAUUUCAACCAUCAAGCCCCAGGGCUUGUGUUGGGGACCUGCGGCUGCCGCAGGCCCCGAAAACCAGUGGCGGGCUCGCUGUCACACCGGGCGUAGUAGAUUUUUCGUCUCGCCCAGGGCGUGCUGCGGGUUCCGGCCGUUAAAAAGCCUCUCUUUUAACCCAAGGUUGACCUCGGAUCAGGUAGGAAGACCCGCUGAACUUAAGC